GGAAAUCUCACCAGGCCCGGACACUGGAAGGAUUGACAGAUUGAUACCUCUUUCUUGAUUCUGUGGGUGGUGGUGCAUGGCCGUUCUUAGUUGGUGGAGUGAUUUGUCUGGCUUAAUUUGACUCAACGCGGGAAAUCUCACCAGGCCCGGACACUGGAAGGAUUGACAGAUUGAUAGCUCUUUCUUGUUAGCAAUAA
This 197-nucleotide ribosomal RNA is filed under the name uncultured eukaryote. RNAcentral describes it as "partial 18S ribosomal RNA". It matches the Rfam family "Eukaryotic small subunit ribosomal RNA", at positions 1208 to 1402 of the family's 1831-position model. The record is from RNAcentral.